UUCCCUUUAGCUUGAUGAAGGUUGUCCCUGCAGCUGUGGACUUUGCUGGUCAGUAGCAGUCAUCUUUCCAGUGCUCAGCAUCUAUCUGCCAGGGAUCUGUGCAAGGCUGCCGUGAGGUCUUUACUGAACUCAGGUUCAACUGCUCGCCUCUCAAAAGUCAACACUCGAGAGAAUAGUGUUAGCAGCUAAACACAGAGAGACCGCCUGAGGUGGACUGCGCAGCCUGGGACAGCCCUCCUGACUAAGGCAUGGAGAAAGGAGAGCCAUCAGCCUGCCAGGUUAGGUCCACUGAGGCACCUGCUGGAAGGGAGCAUGAGCUGGUAAGGACAAGGAAAGAAUUCCAUCCUCAGCCCCCAGGCG
This is a non-coding RNA of Odocoileus virginianus texanus, 360 nucleotides long. NCBI's taxonomy places the organism in Eukaryota, Metazoa, Chordata, Mammalia, Artiodactyla, Cervidae. The record is from RefSeq and is a predicted model, not a curated record.